CAAAAAAUCAAUUCUCAAAAUCCCUACCGAACGGGCCCUUAAAUUCUUCCCAAAAUCCAUCCCAAUUUCCCAUACCAACAUCAUCGUGGCUAGAAAAUCCUUCUAUCUCCAUUUUCUUUGAGAUUUUGACGAUGAAGAUGACGAAAAAUUUUGUGGUUUUUUUUCCUCACAAACUAAUGGAAUUUGAUUAGAACUCUCAGUAGAGAAAGUAAUGCACUGCUCUUCGGCUUCAUAAAUCCCCCUUAAUUUUUGCUCCGAUAGGAUGUUAUACAGUCAAUUGGGGAUCUUCUUACCUUUUUUACUGUGGAGGUGGUGGCGAUUGCAAAAGAUUUGGCCAAUCUCUUUUGCCUUUGAGAGAAGCUCCAGCGGAAUGUAUAGAGGUGGUGGCGCAAAACCAUAUUCAUUUUUAGGGAAAUCUAUAUGUGUCAUUUGUAUGGAUGGAGGCAAUUUGGGUGAUGUGGUGGUUUUCUGUGGAGGAGGAGACUUACAUGGUGCUAACGAUGGUUGAGCGUGGUGGGAUGGAGGUAUUCGAUUAGUAUGGGAUAAGUUAAAAA
This 554-nucleotide long non-coding RNA is filed under the name Olea europaea subsp. europaea. Lineage: Eukaryota; Viridiplantae; Streptophyta; Magnoliopsida; Lamiales; Oleaceae. The record is from RNAcentral.